Molecule: long non-coding RNA, 228 nt
Filed under: Capsella rubella
Lineage: Eukaryota; Viridiplantae; Streptophyta; Magnoliopsida; Brassicales; Brassicaceae
Description: long non-coding RNA (CRUB_LNC003939)
Source: RNAcentral
AACGAUCUCCGGACAAAUACCAAUGUAUAGUGGUGGUCGCCUUUUGAUCUCCGGACAAAUACCAAUGUAUAGUGGUGGUCGCCUUUUGUUUUGUCUUAUAUAUCGAUGUGUCUCCAUAUAUCUUAAUACUAUGUCAGGGCACCUCCAACGGAGGUUUUUAAAAAAAAAAUAUUAAUGAAUAAAAAAAUAAAAAAAUAUUGAAUAAUAAGAGAAAAGGUUAAAGAAGGG